GGUCAGCCUGCCCACUGACAUAGUUUAACGGCCGCGGUACCCUAACCGUGCGAAGGUAGCAUAAUCACUUGUUCUUUAAAUAAGGACUUGUAUCAACGGCAUCACGAGGACUAUACUGUCUCCUUUCUCCAAUCAGUGAAACUGAUCUCCCCGUGAAGAAGCGGGGAUUAACCUAUAAGACGAGAAGACCCCAUGGAGCUUAAAGCUCACAGACACCUCUACGCACUUAAAUCAAUUUAGCCCAAGAGACCUGUAAGCCAGCUUUAGGUUGGGGGGACCGCGGAGAAUAACCUAACCUCCACGACAAACGGGCAAACGCCCUUAUCCAUGAAUUACAAUUCUAAGAAUCAAUAAACUGAUGUUUAAUGACCCGAUUAUUCGAUCAACGAACCAAGUUACCCUGGGGAUAACAGCGCAAUCUACUUUAAGAGCUCAUAUCGACAAGUAGGUUUACGACCUCGAUGUUGGAUCAGGGUAUCCCAGUGGUGCAGCCGCUACUAAAGGUUCGUUUGUUCAACGAUUAAAACCCUACGUGAUCUGUU
Molecule: ribosomal RNA, 542 nt
Filed under: Amolops sp. YYW-2016
Lineage: Eukaryota; Metazoa; Chordata; Amphibia; Anura; Ranidae
Description: partial 16S ribosomal RNA
Rfam family: Bacterial large subunit ribosomal RNA
Source: RNAcentral